Long non-coding RNA from Panicum virgatum (switchgrass), 1263 nucleotides. RefSeq lists it as uncharacterized. The record is from RefSeq and is a predicted model, not a curated record. NCBI's taxonomy places the organism in Eukaryota, Viridiplantae, Streptophyta, Magnoliopsida, Poales, Poaceae. The transcript has 2 exons.
UUAUGACCGUUAGAUAUCCAUGGCCAAAUGAUCCAUCCGUCUGUUGCAUCUGUCUCUCUCGAUGCUUCCUCUAGCUUCCUACCUGGCCACACCCACCCUAUCGCCGCACGCCCGCACCCUCCCGAGCCCCGCGACCCACCCUCCCGGGCACGGGUGCCAUGCCCGUCGGCAGCUCCUCCGGCCGGCGCGCGAAUCAGCAUGCGGCAGGGCGCGGCGGCGGCCUUCCCGGUGGCCAGUAGUGGCGCGGCGGCGGCCUUCCCGGUGCCCAGCAGGGGCACGGCGUGCGCGGUGCGCCACCGGCCCUCCACAGCAAGCUGAGGCUGCGCAGCGGGGCCUCACCAGCUGGCGCAGCGGCCGCGCGACACAUCCUGCUCGGCGAGCACGGCGAGCCACAUGGAGCGACCUCCCUUGCUUCUCCCCCUCUCAUCUACUGAUUUGGUUGCGCUGCAGCUACACAGUGGUCUUCCCAGCCGAUGCCAACGAGGUGGAUGACGACUCUUAAGGUGAAUUUGGUGCCCAACAAUCCCAUGGGGAAGGAGAUUGCUGCUGCCAACCACCCUGGUAUCUCACCUUUGCAUUUGCUUUUCUACAUAUAUUCACUCUCCUAAUUACAGGGUUGCAGCAGAUCGAUUUUUCGGGACCGUGCAAUGUCUAUAUGUGUCUGAGAGGAUCGUGAGCUUGAGUUGAUUCAAUGCCAGAGUCACCACCCUCCACCCCAAAUUAAUUUUAAAAAACCAUAGAAUAAAGGUGACCUGUACAAUUAGUAAUCCAGCACCACCCUUCACCCCAAGUUAGAUUUCUUAUAUGAUACAUAUAUACUCUGAUGCCUACUUACAAUUCUUGCAGAGUGACUGGCCUCCUGAUUUGUAAAUUUAUUGGGUGAUAUGAGUAACUUAGUGAGUCUGAGCUGAUGCCUGUAAUUGGGAAGCACCUUUGAGAAAAGCUGGCUCGAAAGUGAUGCACCACUUUCCGGCACGACAACACCUGAGAAGAAUGUGGUGCUUCUAUAUCACAGUGGAGGACAGCAGCUAUGAUAAAUCUCCUUGAUGUGUGUCCUUCACUGUCGAAAAAGAACUUGCUUAAAGUUUUAGACCUGUUGUGAGGUAAAAUGUUGUGUUCUACGCGACAUAUAUGUUUUGUUAAUGUCUUUGAGUUCAGCUAAAGCCCAGCGGUGAUACUAAGUGUAGACUGGAAUAUGUGUGCAACUACCAAAUAUGUCUUAGCAAGCUAGAUGUUUCUCCAAAAUUUGCAUUCUACAUGGUA